This 202-nucleotide small nuclear RNA is filed under the name Setaria italica (foxtail millet). RNAcentral describes it as "snRNA U2". It matches the Rfam family "U2 spliceosomal RNA". Rfam says of the family: U2 is a small nuclear RNA (snRNA) component of the spliceosome (involved in pre-mRNA splicing). Complementary binding between U2 snRNA (in an area lying towards the 5' end but 3' to hairpin I) and the branchpoint sequence (BPS) of the intron results the bulging out of an unpaired adenosine, on the BPS, which initiates a nucleophilic attack at the intronic 5' splice site, thus starting the first of two transesterification reactions that mediate splicing. Lineage: Eukaryota; Viridiplantae; Streptophyta; Magnoliopsida; Poales; Poaceae. The record is from Rfam by way of RNAcentral.
AUACCUUUCUCGGCCUUUUUACUAAGAUCAAGUGUACUCCAACAAAACCUAUUCUCAAAUAUUUUUGCUUGACCAAUUAUAUUUUUAAAUAUAUUACGAGAUUAUUUAUUUUAGUGAGGGAAGAUCUGGAUAAUGACCUGUCAUUAGGGUCCUCACGUGUUGCUUGCGCUUUGCACUACAGCUCGAGCUUGGCGCGUCCUAA